GAGUUUGAUCAUGGCUCAGAUUGAACGCUGGCGGCAUGCCUUACACAUGCAAGUCGAACGGCAGCACGGGAGCUUGCUCCUGGUGGCGAGUGGCGAACGGGUGAGUGAUGCAUCGGAACGUAUCCUGGAGUGGGGGAUAACGUAGCGAAAGUUACGCUAAUACCGCAUAUUCUGUGAGCAGGAAAGCGGGGGACCUUCGGGCCUCGCGCUCUUGGAGCGGCCGAUGUCGGAUUAGCUAGUUGGUGAGGUAAAGGCUCACCAAGGCGACGAUCCGUAGCAGGUCUGAGAGGAUGAUCUGCCACACUGGAACUGAGACACGGUCCAGACUCCUACGGGAGGCAGCAGUGGGGAAUUUUGGACAAUGGGGGCAACCCUGAUCCAGCCAUGCCGCGUGAGUGAAGAAGGCCUCGGUUGUAA
RNAcentral lists this ribosomal RNA (417 nucleotides) under bacterium enrichment culture clone ALO1_GLFRUDD03HAWRA. RNAcentral's name for it is "bacterial SSU rRNA". It matches the Rfam family "Bacterial small subunit ribosomal RNA", at positions 9 to 428 of the family's 1533-position model. The record is from RNAcentral.